Molecule: ribosomal RNA, 897 nt
Filed under: Beauveria bassiana
Lineage: Eukaryota; Fungi; Ascomycota; Sordariomycetes; Hypocreales; Cordycipitaceae
Description: LSU rRNA
Rfam family: Eukaryotic large subunit ribosomal RNA
Source: RNAcentral
GCAUAUCAAUAAGCGGAGGAAAAGAAACCAACAGGGAUUGCCCCAGUAACGGCGAGUGAAGCGGCAACAGCUCAAAUUUGAAAUCUGGCCCUCGGGUCCGAGUUGUAAUUUGUAGAGGAUGCUUUUGGCGAGGUGCCUUCCGAGUUCCCUGGAACGGGACGCCAUAGAGGGUGAGAGCCCCGUCUGGUCGGACACCGAGCCUCUGUAAAGCUCCUUCAACGAGUCGAGUAGUUUGGGAAUGCUGCUCAAAAUGGGAGGUAUAUGUCUUCUAAAGCUAAAUAUUGGCCAGAGACCGAUAGCGCACAAGUAGAGUGAUCGAAAGAUGAAAAGCACUUUGAAAAGAGGGUUAAAAAGUACGUGAAAUUGUUGAAAGGGAAGCGCCUAUGACCAGACUUGCGCCCGGUGAAUCAUCCAGCGUUCUCGCUGGUGCACUUUGCCGGGCACAGGCCAGCAUCAGUUUGGCGCGGGGGAAAAAGGCUUCGGGAAUGUGGCUCCCUCGGGAGUGUUAUAGCCCGCUGCGUAAUACCCUGCGCCGGACUGAGGUACGCGCAUCGCAAGGAUGCUGGCGUAAUGGUCAUCAGCGACCCGUCUUGAAACACGGACCAAGGAGUCGUCUUCGUAUGCGAGUGUUCGGGUGUCAAACCCCUACGCGUAAUGAAAGUGAACGCAGGUGAGAGCUUCGGCGCAUCAUCGACCGAUCCUGAUGUUCUCGGAUGGAUUUGAGUAAGAGCAUACGGGGCCGGACCCGAAAGAAGGUGAACUAUGCCUGUAUAGGGUGAAGCCAGAGGAAACUCUGGUGGAGGCUCGCAGCGGUUCUGACGUGCGAAUCGAUCGUCAAAUAUGGGCAUGGGGGCGAAAGACUAAUCGAACCUUCUAGUAGCUGGUUUCCGCCGAAGU